AGGUUAACGUCGUGGCAGCAGCGGAGUGAGGACGGAGGGUGAAAGGGGAACUGGGAAUGACUAGGGGUAAAGGGACGGGAGGCGGUUUGGUAAGUCUUUGUGGAAAGGUCGUGGCUUAACUGGGAGAGGUCAAGGGAAACUACCGGGCUAGAGUGUGGUAGGGGAUACUGGAAUUCCUGGUGUAGCGGUGAAAUGCGUAGAUAUCAGGAGGAAUACCUAUGGCGAAAGCAGGUAUCUGGGCCAUCACUGACGCUGAGCUGCGAAAGCUAGGGGAGCAAACAGGAUUAGAUACCCCUAGUC
This 300-nucleotide ribosomal RNA is filed under the name uncultured Pyrobaculum sp. Its description in RNAcentral is "partial 16S ribosomal RNA". It matches the Rfam family "Bacterial small subunit ribosomal RNA", at positions 494 to 795 of the family's 1533-position model. Lineage: Archaea; Thermoproteati; Thermoproteota; Thermoprotei; Thermoproteales; Thermoproteaceae. The record is from RNAcentral.